GUAGGGAAUAUUGGGCAAUGGAUGCAAGUCUGACCCAGCCAUGCCGCGUGGAGGAAGAAGGUCCUCUGGAUUGUAAACUCCUUUUUUGGGGGAAGAAUAGUUCUCUUGCGAGGGAAUGUGACGGUACCCUAAGAAUAAGCCACGGCUAACUACGUGCCAGCAGCCGCGGUAAUACGUAGGUGGCAAGCGUUGUCCGGAUUUAUUGGGUUUAAAGGGUGCGUAGGUGGGUUGAUAAGUCAGUAGUGAAAGCUGGUUGCUAAACAAUCAAGUUGCCAUUGAUACUGUCGGACUUGAGAGAAGUAGAGGUUCAUGGAAUGGAUGGUGUAGCGGUGAAAUGCAUAGAUAUCAUCCAGAACGUCGAUUGCGAAGGCAGUGGGCUGUACUUUAUCUGACACUGAGGCACGAAAGUGUGGGGAUCAAACAGGAUUAGAUACCCCAGUAGUCC
This 445-nucleotide ribosomal RNA is filed under the name uncultured bacterium. Its description in RNAcentral is "partial 16S ribosomal RNA". It matches the Rfam family "Bacterial small subunit ribosomal RNA", at positions 354 to 796 of the family's 1533-position model. The record is from RNAcentral.